UAUUCACCAUUAAUACAUGAGUUAGAGGCUGACAUGUGAAAAUGUAAACUUAAUUUCUGGAUUACUUUCUUUCUUUUUUUCUUUAAGGCCAAUCCUGCUUUUCUUACAGAAGCAUGAUGCUGUGUGUGGAUCACGUUAUCGUCAACGAGAACCUCUCUUCCUUUAUCUCCUCCUUGUGCAUGAUGUUUGGGUCGUAUUACUCAUUCAACCUCCAUUACCCAACUGCACUUGCAUCAACCCUGGAGUUUCUACAGAGAGAAGGGGACCAAAGUGGAGCGAACCAGUGCUACGCGAUUGUAUGUUAAUGCCAGAGUCCUGACGUUGAUUCAGGACCUCUCAGACCACGAAUGGCGAUCCAUUUGAAAAGGCUGUGAAAUCAUCAAUGAUCCAGUGCUGCAGUGCUGCCUCAUAAAAGUCAUGUUGCUGUUGAAGGGAAAAGAAGCCGUGCGUCACGAACAAGAUUGACACACCAACUCUUGCAAUCAACUCUCCCAGCAAACUCCAAGGACAAAGCGCUUUGUCCUAAAACAAGCAGAGACUGCCCGGACAACAAAGUUGAUAGCGGGUGUCCCAUCCGCGCACGAACCUAAGCCGCCCAAAACCGGCCACAGAGGGGAAGACCCAAAAGCAACGCCCAGACACACCUUUGGACACACCUUCGACACGGCCCGCUUCACCAAGGACUUUAAAAAGACUGGACACUGAGAUAACAGAUUUUGCUGCUCGGAAACAUGUAGCCUUGUUUUGGAUCCAGAACUGUUCCUCCGUCGUCUAUUUUUGCCUUGUUUUUGACAAUUGUCGACGAAUAAAUUGUCAACCUGCUUUCGGCGAGUCUUUUUCAAACUUUUGGAACAUGGAGUCAGUACAAAGGAUUAAUAUCGGAGGUGGACGCGCGAAGUUCUGCCUUCCCGGUUGGCGCGAGCGGGGGCAGCAUCGGCAGAGCGGCACUUUGUUCGGCUGUCACUGUUUCCGUGGGCCUUGGCCGUGGGGGCGAAUUUCAACAUCUGAAAAUGUCAUCUUUCCUAAUCCAUCAACAGACAGCAUAUGAGUACAUCAUUACAUGUGUGGCUUCUUUAUAUUAUCAGGGUGGGGGUGGGGGGUUGUGUGUGUGGGUGUGUGUACUUGAUACUAUCAUGUGACAAUGGGUAAGGUAAAUAAU
This is a long non-coding RNA of Corythoichthys intestinalis (scribbled pipefish), 1159 nucleotides long. RefSeq lists it as uncharacterized. The transcript is spliced from 4 exons. Lineage: Eukaryota; Metazoa; Chordata; Actinopteri; Syngnathiformes; Syngnathidae. The record is from RefSeq and is a predicted model, not a curated record.